RNAcentral lists this small nuclear RNA (107 nucleotides) under Ochotona princeps (American pika). The record is from RNAcentral. Lineage: Eukaryota; Metazoa; Chordata; Mammalia; Lagomorpha; Ochotonidae.
GUGCUUGCUUUGGCAGCACAUAUCCUAAAAUUGGAAUGAUACACAGAAGAUUAGCAUGGCCCCUGUGCAAGGAUGACAUGCAAAUUCGUGAAGUGUUCCAUAUCUUA